RNAcentral lists this microRNA precursor (75 nucleotides) under Schistosoma japonicum. RNAcentral's name for it is "microRNA sja-mir-2162 precursor". It matches the Rfam family "mir-2162 microRNA precursor family". Lineage: Eukaryota; Metazoa; Platyhelminthes; Trematoda; Strigeidida; Schistosomatidae. The record is from miRBase by way of RNAcentral.
CUAGGGGAUGAGUGAGAUUGUUGCAUAUUUACAUUGCUGGUAUGUAUUAUGCAACGUUUCACUCUACUCCGGGGA